UGCUCCCGAACCACCAGCUUUAGCAAGUCACUUCUCACCCUAACUCCAGGUACCUGGAAUCUGGAAAGAGCACCAACCCCCAACUGCUGGAUACCAGAGAUGCUAGAACGCUACAUCUGGAGCCAACUUGCAAAUAACUACAAAGUCCAGAGGCUGAGACUGAGGGACAGAGUGGACCUCCAGAAUCCGUGCACUGAGCUAAGGAAGGAAGACAGUGCUUACACCAAGUCUCUCAGCUAUGGCGCAAGAAGGAGAGGCACCGUUCACAAGCCCACUCUUCUGGGGCUCCCCUUAGGAAUGGAAGCCUUCCUCUUAUGAACCCCAACGGGAGCCUCCUCUGACCUCUCCGUACAGUUACUAUUCACCAGAUAUCCAUGUGCUACGUGGACAAGAGACAAGCAAGGGCAAAUUUCACUUCUGCCUCUUACCAGUUAGUUACAUAGCUCUGAACAAGUCAGAAGAGAACCGAAGAACUGACCAGGGGCCCCAUCAGGACUAACAGGGCUGCUAUCUGCAGGCGUGGGCACAGGUCCGCAGUUACUUUAUUUGUGGGCAUUAUUUAUCCUGUUUGUUCCAAAUUCAGGAGCAAUGCUCCAAACGACCUCAGGGGCUAUCCUGAAUGCAUCUAGGGAUAAGCGUGUUGGGGGAAUUGGUCAUCCCUGCAGCUCUGCCUGGGCUCAGGCCAGAUCCAAGGUAGUGAGGGUGAGCAUGCAGGUGGGAGUGGGGGCUGCCAUGGGCUAGUGGCUGUAGGAGUAGGGAGCUGGCUCCGUGUCCCCCACGUGGGAGGCUGCCUGGAUCUCAGGCAGUCCUGCCUUUCUGGUUAGGGCUUCCCAACUUUUGCGGCUGUCCUCAGGGGCAAGCUAUUUUAGGUAGCAGUCAAAAUAAAACUGAGAUUAACCCAGAA
This 904-nucleotide long non-coding RNA is filed under the name Mus caroli (Ryukyu mouse). RNAcentral's name for it is "lncRNA (MGP_CAROLIEiJ_G0003437.1)". Lineage: Eukaryota; Metazoa; Chordata; Mammalia; Rodentia; Muridae. The record is from RNAcentral.